Acinonyx jubatus (cheetah) is the source of this 808-nucleotide long non-coding RNA. RefSeq lists it as uncharacterized. The record is from RefSeq and is a predicted model, not a curated record. The transcript is spliced from 3 exons. Lineage: Eukaryota; Metazoa; Chordata; Mammalia; Carnivora; Felidae.
CAUGCCCUCAUCAGUUCUAUUUAUAACAGGUCACCAAGCCCAGAAAGAAGCGUUUAACUGUCACCACUGGGUGAGCCCACCACAGCAGAGACUGCGCAGGCAGGGAGUGGAGCCCAGGCAGCACACGGCACUCAGGAUGAGGUGCGAGUGACACCACACCCACAGAUGUCACCGCACUGGGGAGAAAGGGAAAACUUGAAAAUUACAAGCAAGACUAUAUUGAAGAGAAAUGAGCAAUGAGCUUUCCAAUUUUUUUUUUUUUAAGCACAAGUUACAUUUAAAAAAAUGAGAAGACAGACAGGACAAAAGAGCUCCAUGAAACCAAUCACAGGUUUGGGGAACUGAAACUAUAGCCCUUCACAGAUGGAAGGGGUGGAGGAUGUGAACACUGUUGAAUCAGAGGCUCAAGUGAAAUCGCGCCCUGGAAACAGACUGCAGGCAGAUUGCGAAGGCAGAAGACGGUUUCUGAAGCAUGUUGCUUCAUGCCAACGUCCUACCAUCUACUGAGGGCACUGCCUCGGAGGUGGUGCUGGACAGAGGAACCUAAACUCAGCUCCAAGAACAGGUGCCGCCACCUAACUGAGUUACCAACAAUUCCCAAGGUGGCAUGCCCUGCUGGAGAAGAGCAUGCCCAGCCAAUGACAACCAGCGUUUAGACAAGUGUGCUGAGCCUGCUAACAGCUCUCAUCCAGCUGUGUCCCUGCAUGAUUCACCUUUUCCUUGAUUCUAUCAAUUCCCAAUUCAAUAAACAAUCUUACCAGAAAAGCAUCUGCAUUUCUGCCUCCUUCAGGUUCUCAAAUUGGUUUGC